UACAGAGGGGGCGAGCGUUGUUCGGAAUUACUGGGCGUAAAGGGCGCGUAGGCGGCCCGCUAAGUCGAACGUGAAAUCCCCAGGCUCAACCUGGGAACUGCGUCCGAUACUGGCAGGCUUGAAUCCGGGAGAGGGAUGUGGAAUUCCAGGUGUAGCGGUGAAAUGCGUAGAUAUCUGGAGGAACACCGGUGGCGAAGGCGGCAUCCUGGACCGGUAUUGACGCUGAGGCGCGAAAGCGUGGGGGGCAAACAGG
RNAcentral lists this ribosomal RNA (253 nucleotides) under uncultured bacterium. Its description in RNAcentral is "partial 16S ribosomal RNA". It matches the Rfam family "Bacterial small subunit ribosomal RNA", at positions 524 to 776 of the family's 1533-position model. The record is from RNAcentral.